This 462-nucleotide ribosomal RNA is filed under the name uncultured bacterium. RNAcentral describes it as "partial 16S ribosomal RNA". It matches the Rfam family "Bacterial small subunit ribosomal RNA", at positions 28 to 507 of the family's 1533-position model. The record is from RNAcentral.
GAUGAACGCUGACAGAAUGCUUAACACAUGCAAGUCUUUGGCGAAGCUGUGCUUGCACAGCCUAGCCAAGGCGGACGGGUGAGUAACGCGUAAGGAACUUGCCCUGCAGUCAGGGAUAACAGACGGAAACGACUGAUAAGACCUGGUAAAGUCAGGCGGACUCAUGUCCAGCCUGAUGAAAAGAGAUGCUGCAGGAGAGCCUUGCGUCCUAUUAGCUUGUUGGUGGGGUAACGGCCCACCAAGGCGAUGAUAGGUAGCCGGCCUGAGAGGGUGGACGGCCACAAGGGGACUGAGAUACGGCCCUUACUCCUACGGGAGGCAGCAGUGGGGAAUAUUGGACAAUGGGGGCAACCCUGAUCCAGCAAUUCUGUGUGCACGAUGAAGGUUUUCGGAUUGUAAAGAGCUUUCAGCAGGGAAGAAAAAAUGACGGUACCUGCAGAAGAAGCGACGGCUAAAUACGUG